UCUCUUAAAGCCGUUCUCAGUUCGGAUUGUAGGCUGCAACUCGCCUACAUGAAGUCGGAAUCGCUAGUAAUCGCGGAUCAGCAUGCCGCGGUGAAUACGUUCCCGGGCCUUGUACACACCGCCCGUCACACCAUGAGAGUUUGUAACACCCAAAGCCGGUGGGGUAACCUUUUGGAGCCAGCCGUCUAAGGUGGGACAGAUGAUUGGGGUGAAGUCGUAACAAGGUAAC
This 229-nucleotide ribosomal RNA is filed under the name uncultured bacterium. RNAcentral's name for it is "partial 16S ribosomal RNA". It matches the Rfam family "Bacterial small subunit ribosomal RNA", at positions 1272 to 1500 of the family's 1533-position model. The record is from RNAcentral.